AGCGAACGCUGGCGGCAGGCCUAACACAUGCAAGUCGAACGAACUCUUCGGAGUUAGUGGCGGACGGGUGAGUAACACGUGGGAACGUGCCUUUAGGUUCGGAAUAACUCAGGGAAACUUGUGCUAAUACCGAAUGUGCCCUUCGGGGGAAAGAUUUAUCGCCUUUAGAGCGGCCCGCGUCUGAUUAGCUAGUUGGUGAGGUAAGGGCUCACCAAGGCGACGAUCAGUAGCUGGUCUGAGAGGAUGAUCAGCCACAUUGGGACUGAGACACGGCCCAAACUCCUACUGGAGGCAGCAGUGGGGAAUCUUGCGCAAUGGGCGAAAGCCUGACGCAGCCAUGCCGCGUGAAUGAUGAAGGUCUUAGGAUUGUAAAAUUCUUUCACCGGGGACGAUAAUGACGGUACCCGGAGAAGAAGCCCCGGCUAACUUCGUGCCAGCCGCCGCGGUAA
This 449-nucleotide ribosomal RNA is filed under the name uncultured bacterium. RNAcentral describes it as "partial 16S ribosomal RNA". It matches the Rfam family "Bacterial small subunit ribosomal RNA", at positions 29 to 523 of the family's 1533-position model. The record is from RNAcentral.